Molecule: long non-coding RNA, 1880 nt
Filed under: Callithrix jacchus (white-tufted-ear marmoset)
Lineage: Eukaryota; Metazoa; Chordata; Mammalia; Primates; Cebidae
Description: lncRNA (ENSCJAG00000069882.1)
Source: RNAcentral
UCUCACUCGGGCUCUAGGGCAGCCACGGCGCGCGCAUCUGGGGGUGUCCAGGCACCGGGGCCCGGCAGGCCUGCGCACGGGUGCGCAACGGCGCUCCACGAACUGGGCUGCGCUUCUGAUGUGGUCCCUGCUGUCACCACCGCCAUAGGCCCCUUCGGGGCUCCGCCCGUUGCCUCCUCCCUAUUGGGGACCUAAACCCUCUACUCCCACAACCGGCAGUUGCGUGUCCUGGCUCCCAACCACACGGUUAGUCGCGGGAAUUGGGUAUCCAGAGGUGGACACAGACCCAGGCCCAGAACCUUGGACCACUGCCCGCUCCUGCUCCGGAGUGGCAAGUGGCCCUUUCGGCCUCCGCUGGAAGCUUGCUUUGGGUCGGGAGCUGAUCAGCGCUUUACCCGCCUUGUUCCACGAUAAGACCAACGUGGCCCCAGGAGAGGCAGAGGUGGGCUACGCAGAGGCCAAGCCACCAGCCUCCUUCCUCUCGGAGGUCUAGCCAGGAGGGCACACCCCCCAGCACAAGGGGUGCCCCAGGAACCAGAGGGGCUAUGGCCCCCUCUGCGUGGCGAAGAGAGGCGGGAAUGAGAGGCUCCAGAGGAAACCGAGUCUUUGAAGAAGCUUGCCCACCCCAGUUUUCCCCCAAGACCUCCCAGUGACUAUCUUCUAAGAGGCCCAGCGGAGGAGUGCACUUAUGACCGACUCUGGGACCUUCCUUGUUCGUUGCCUGGAGCUCAGCGUCCUUAGCGGGCCCGGGGCAGUGGUGUCUGUGUGCGUGAGUGUCACGGUGCCGACCUCUCCCGACCGCCAGAAGCGAGGCCCCGGCCGUCGGACCCAGUGCUCAGGGGCCACUCCCCGCCCGGCGUCCCGGCGAGAGGACCGCUCAAGUACGCAAGCAACAGAGAGACACCCAGACGCCGUCCUGAGGGCGGGCGGGCCUGAAGGCGCUUCGGCCACCUCGGCCAGACUCGAGAAAAUAUUUGCGAUGCUUUUUUGGAGAUGACAAAGGCACACAGAGGAUGACACCUCAGCCCCUGCAGUGCAGGGAGCAGGAGGUGACCGCGCUGAUAACACGGUGGAGUCUUCCUCAGCCUGGAUCUCCGAGUGACCACAUGGGGCACGCAGUGUGAGCAAGAAAUAAACCGAGUGUGCUAACCCACCUGGAUUGUGUUUGUUGCUGUUGUGUAACUUAGCCUAUGCUGAUGAAUCCCUUUCAAAUGGGGAGUUUAACCCAGCGGACACAUUGUUAAGUGUUGUGGACACAGAUUUUGAGCACUUAAAAUAACUCACAUUCCCCUCCCUUUUCCCCCCUCUCUCCUUACCCCUCCCUCCCUCUGGGGUGGCAGCUAGCCUCUCUACCCUCUUUGUGGAAAUUAGGAAAAGGUUUGUCAUCCAAGCAGAGGCAGUUUGGGGCUGCUCAGCUUGAUGAGCAGUGAGCGGAGAGUGAGCUAAAUUUCAGCCUGACGCUCUGCCUUGGCUGGGCACUUUUGAGCAGUGCACAACCUACACAGCAGUCCAGAGUGACCCAGCCAUUUAUCCAUCCCUAAACUGGGUAUAGAGUGAGUACCAGGCCUUGAGUUGGGCUCUGCAGGUUCAGAGAGAAUAGAAUGCUCUGUGUGCCUCAAGGAACUCACUCUGGUGGGAGCAGACAGGAUGCAGAAAUGCCCUCAUUCUAGCCAUAUCUAAUUUUAGAGCAUUUUAUUUCUUUCUUUUUUUUUUUUGAGACUGAGUAUCGCUCGCUCUGUCACCCAGGCUGGAAUGUAGUGUUGCAAUCUAGGCUUGCUGCAACCUCCACCUCCCAGGCUCAAGUGAUUCUCCUGCCUCAGCCUCCUAAGUAGCUGGAAUUACAGGCAUCUGCUGGCAGCCCGGCUAAUAUUUUGUCUGUA